Molecule: transfer RNA, 56 nt
Filed under: Bos taurus (domestic cattle)
Lineage: Eukaryota; Metazoa; Chordata; Mammalia; Artiodactyla; Bovidae
Also listed under: 5 other names
Rfam family: tRNA
About the family: Transfer RNA (tRNA) molecules are approximately 80 nucleotides in length. Their secondary structure includes four short double-helical elements and three loops (D, anti-codon, and T loops).
Source: Rfam by way of RNAcentral
AUCUCAGAUGGUAAAGAAUCUGCUUGUAAUGCAGGAGACCCAGGUUUGAUCCCUGG